RNAcentral lists this ribosomal RNA (497 nucleotides) under uncultured bacterium. RNAcentral describes it as "partial 16S ribosomal RNA". It matches the Rfam family "Bacterial small subunit ribosomal RNA", at positions 28 to 507 of the family's 1533-position model. The record is from RNAcentral.
GAUGAACGCUGGCGGCGUGCCUAAUACAUGCAAGUUGAGCGAACAGAUGAGGAGCUUGCUCCUCUGACGUUAGCGGCGGACGGGUGAGUAACACGUGGAUAACCUACCUAUAAGACUGGGAUAACUUCGGGAAACCGGAGCUAAUACCGGAUAAUAUAUUGAACCGCAUGGUUCAAUAGUGAAAGACGGUUUUGCUGUCACUUAUAGAUGGAUCCGCGCCGCAUUAGCUAGUUGGUAAGGUAACGGCUUACCAAGGCAACGAUGCGUAGCCGACCUGAGAGGGUGAUCGGCCACACUGGAACGGAGACACGGUCCAGACUCCUACGGGAGGCAGCAGUAGGGAAUCUUCCGCAAUGGGCGAAAGCCUGACGGAGCAACGCCGCGUGAGUGAUGAAGGUCUUCGGAUCGUAAAACUCUGUUAUUAGGGAAGAACAAAUGUGUAAGUAACUAUGCACGUCUUGACGGUACCUAAUCAGAAAGCCACGGCUAACUACGUG